This 1258-nucleotide long non-coding RNA is filed under the name Cottoperca gobio. Its description in RNAcentral is "lncRNA (ENSCGOG00000011733.1)". Lineage: Eukaryota; Metazoa; Chordata; Actinopteri; Perciformes; Bovichtidae. The record is from RNAcentral.
UCGUAAGAUUUUCUCCUCUCUCUUCUAUCUAUCUCCUUCUCAUACUCUCUCUUCUCUCCUCUUCUCUUCUCUCUCUCUCUCUCUCUCUCUCUUCUCUCUCUCUCUCUCUCUCUCUCUCUCUCUCUCUCUCUCUCUCUCUGUGGAAACAGCACCUGAAGUCCACUCACUGCUGUGCAGCAGGGAUCCCAUGGCAGAGCAAGUGAAUGGCUGCUAAUUGAAUGAGAGAUGAAAAGGACAGUAGUUGUACCUGCUCAGUGUCCUCCUCCUACUACUUGGUUUUUCAUUCAACUUUUUUUCUCCUCCACAUUUACAAACGCCCUUCUCCUCACAAAGAAACUCACUCUUCAGACGUUUUAACAAAAUUGGUGGUUGCCUUAAGAAAAUUGGCAAAAUCUUCAGGAAUGAAAAUACUUGGCUUCAGCGUAGAGGUGACAGUCUUGAGUAGAACAUAAGUUUUUCAUGCAGUGGCAGAAACAUCUAGCUGAAUGUUUCCAGCUUUUGAGAGGUCAUGCAACAAAACAUACUGUACUGUACAUAUUUGUGGACUUGGAAGGACAUUACAGGACAGAUGAACAGUUUUGCCAGCAUGAAAACUUGCAGAGGUCACACCAGGAUUCAUACCUCUUGAUGCAGCUGGUCAGGAAUGCCAACAUGGAGAUGAAAAGCAGCGAUCUUACUGUUGACAAAGCACACACGUUGUCUGUAGCCAAUUCCUCUGAACCUGUUUAGCCCGGACCACAUAUGCAAAACGGCACCUCUACACCUGCAACAACAGUCGAUUAGACUCGCAUCAUUAGAGUCUGAUUGUCAGUCUUUGUGGAUGUGGACAGGUAAGUUGGAGCCGCUUCUAAAAGGUAAGUUUAACAGAUUGAAUCAAUUUAAGAGCUGUCUGAAGUGUAAAAUUGUGCUGCUGAGCAAUAUUUUCCAAAAUUAGUUUCAUUAGACAUGAAUUACUAUAUUUGAGAGCAAUUUUAGGUCGGAGAUUGGAUGAGACCCCAAGGGUUCCUUCUUUUCACGUAGUAAUUUACAUUCAAGUAUUUGACUGGAAAAUCGUUUGACAAGAGUUUGUCGCUGUAAUUACUUUCCUCUUUUCUGUGGGACAUUAUGUACACAUACAUAACCUAUUCAUACAAUCUUUUUCAUACUAUAAUGAACUCAUUUAUUGUAAAAUGAUUGCACAAUCCCCAAAGUGUUUGCCCUGAUAUGAUAUAUAUAUAUAUUUUUUCAAUAAAGUUGAACAAUUUGUCAAAUAAAAAUC